Molecule: non-coding RNA, 504 nt
Organism: Podarcis lilfordi (Lilford's wall lizard)
Lineage: Eukaryota; Metazoa; Chordata; Lepidosauria; Squamata; Lacertidae
Source: the annotation of a GenBank genome assembly
AACACUCCCCAUCAAAGGCUCUGCCUUGGAUACCAGUGUUUCUCAAACUUGGAUCCCCAGCUGUUGUUGGACUACAACUCCCAUCAUCCCUGACCACCGGUCCUGCUAGCUAGGGAUGAUGGGAGGUAUUGUCCAACAACAGCUGAGGACCCAAGUUUGAGAAGCACAACAAACACCUGAGACACAGCAGUGGGGGUGUCUAUUUUUUACAAGACAUUUUUAGCCUUGGCCCCAAGGCUUUGGAAUUACUUGCUGGGAAAAUCCACUCUGCCCCCUAUUUGUUGGCUUUUCAGUGCCAUAUUAUGCUAGUUUUAUUUCGCUGAGGAGCAUCUCUGAAGUUCAGCAAGCUCCUGGCUUUCCUGUGCUGCUGCAAAGUAUUGUGUGAAAAAUGGUUUUAUUGCCGGUUUAUCUUUCCUUCUUAUCAAGCAGUUUGUACAUUUUAUGCAUUGUUUUUACUGUUGAGGGAUCUAUGCCGAAAACACACAAUAUAAAUGCUUUCAAUAC